AUUGAACGCUGGCGGCAGGCCUAACACAUGCAAGUCGAGCGGAUGAAGGGAGCUUGCUUCCGGAUUCAGCGGGCGACGGGCGAGUAAUGCAUAGGAAUCUGCCUGGCAGUUGGGGAUAACGUCCGGAAAUGGGCGCUCUUACCGUAUAACUCCAGAGGGAGAAAGUGGGGGAUCUUGGGACCUCACGCCAUUAGACGAGCCUAGGUCGGAUUAGCUAGUUGGUGGGGUAAAGGCCUACCAAGGCGACGAUCCGUAACUGGUCUGAGAGGAUGAUCAGUCACACUGGAACUGAGACACGGUCCAGACUCCUACGGGAGGCAGCAGUGGGGAAUAUUGGACAAUGGGCGAAAGCCUGAUCCAGCCAUGCCGCGUGGGUGAAGAAGGUCUUCGGAUUGUAAAGCACUUUAGGUGGGGAGGAAGGGCAGUAGGUUAAUACCUUGCUGUUUUGACGUUACCAACAGAAUAAGCACCGGCUAACUUCGUG
Molecule: ribosomal RNA, 484 nt
Filed under: uncultured bacterium
Lineage: Bacteria
Description: partial 16S ribosomal RNA
Rfam family: Bacterial small subunit ribosomal RNA
Source: RNAcentral